This 396-nucleotide ribosomal RNA is filed under the name uncultured bacterium. RNAcentral's name for it is "partial 16S ribosomal RNA". It matches the Rfam family "Bacterial small subunit ribosomal RNA", at positions 523 to 918 of the family's 1533-position model. The record is from RNAcentral.
AUACGUAGGGGGCAAGCGUUAUCCGGAUUUACUGGGUGUAAAGGGAGCGUAGACGGCAAAGCAAGUCUGAAGUGAAAGCCCCGGGCUCAACCCGGGAAUUGCUUUGGAAACUGUUUAGCUGGAGUGCAGGAGAGGUAAGCGGAAUUCCUAGUGUAGCGGUGAAAUGCGUAGAUAUUAGGAGGAACACCGGCGGCGAAGGCGGCUUACUGGACUGUAACUGACGUUGAGGAUCGAAAGCGUGGGGAGCAAACAGGAUUAGAUACCCUGGUAGUCCACGCCGUAAACGAUGAUUACUAGGUGUUGGUUGUCAUAGACAAUCGGUGCCGCAGCAAACGCAAUAAGUAAUCCACCUGGGGAGUACGUUCGCAAGAAUGAAACUCAAAUGAAUUGACGGGG